AUCCAGCUGACAAAUCCCAAACAGGGCGAAACACGCGUCAAACUGGAU
RNAcentral lists this non-coding RNA (48 nucleotides) under Schistosoma margrebowiei. The record is from RNAcentral. Lineage: Eukaryota; Metazoa; Platyhelminthes; Trematoda; Strigeidida; Schistosomatidae.